This 2143-nucleotide ribosomal RNA is filed under the name human gut metagenome. RNAcentral's name for it is "bacterial LSU rRNA". It matches the Rfam family "Bacterial large subunit ribosomal RNA", at positions 476 to 2641 of the family's 2925-position model. The record is from RNAcentral.
CUUAGUGACCGAUAGCGCAUAGUACUGUGAAGGAAAGGUGAAAAGGACCCCGGGAGGGGAGUGAAAGAGAACCUGAAACCAUAUGUUUACAAGCUGUGGAACAUCUUUAUAUGAUGAACCGCGUACUUUUUGUAGAACGGUCCGGCGAGUUACGCUGGCUGGCGAGGUUAAGGGCUGAAGGCCUGGAGCCGAAGGGAAACCGAGUCUGAACAGGGCGAAAUAGUCAGUCGGAGUAGACCCGAAACCGGGUGAUCUAUCCAUGUCCAGGUUGAAGUUGCCGUAAAAGGCAAUGGAGGACCGAACCCACAUCCGUUGAAAAGGGUGGGGAUGAGGUGUGGAUAGGGGAGAAAUUCCAAUCGAACCCGGAGAUAGCUGGUUCUCCUCGAAAUAGCUUUAGGGCUAGCCUCAUACGAGUCUUGCGGAGGUAGAGCACUGAAUUUCCUAGGGGGCGUCAAAGCUUACCGAAGAAUAUCAAACUCCGAAUGCCGCGUAGAUGAUGUAUGGGAGUCAGACUAUACGAGAUAAGUUGGAUAGUCGAAAGGGAAAGAGCCCAGACCACCGGCUAAGGUCCCAAAAUGUGUGUUAAGUGGAAAAGGAUGUGGGAUUUCGAAGACAACUAGGAUGUUGGCUUAGAAGCAGCCAUCCAUUAAAAGAGUGCGUAAUAGCUCACUAGUCGAGAGGUCCUGCGCCGAAAAUGUCCGGGGCUGAAACACACUACCGAAGCUUAGGAAUUGAUGAAUGUCAAUUGGUAGAGGAGCAUUCUUAAAGGGACGAAGCAGUACCGUAAGGAGCUGUGGACUUUUAAGAAGAGAGAAUGCCGGAAUGAGUAGCGAGAGGAAGGUGAGAAUCCUUCCGGCCGAAUAUCUAAGGUUUCCAGAGUAAAGCUGAUCUGCUCUGGGUAAGUCGGGGCCUAAGGCGAGGUCGAAAGACGUAGUCGAUGGAUAACAGGUUGAAAUUCCUGUACUAUGAUAUGACAGAACUGUGGGGACACGUGUGGAAAGCGGAAGCCGGGAAUGGAAAGACCGGUGCAAGCAAGGUAGGAGACUGGUUGGCAAAUCCGCCAGUCAAUCUGAAGAUGUGAUGCGUACUGAAAUAUAAGUAAGGAAGUCCGUGAGCCAUGCGUCAAGAAAAGCCGCUAUUGUUCAUAUCGUACCCGUACCGUAAACCGACACAGGUGGAUGAGGAGAGAAUCCUAAGGCCGACGGGAGAAGCAUUGUUAAGGAACUCGGCAAAAUGACUCCGUAACUUCGGGAGAAGGAGUGCCAGUGAGAGCUGGCCGCAGAGAAUUGGCCCAAGCAACUGUUUAGCAAAAACACAGGUCUAUGCAAAACCGAAAGGUGAGGUAUAUGGGCUGACGCCUGCCCGGUGCUGGAAGGUUAAGGGGAGAGGUUAGCCGUAAGGCGAAGCUUUGAACUUAAGCCCCAGUAAACGGCGGCCGUAACUAUAACGGUCCUAAGGUAGCGAAAUUCCUUGUCGGGUAAGUUCCGACCCGCACGAAAGGCGUAAUGAUUUGGGCACUGUCUCAACAAUGCACCCGGUGAAAUUGAAAUACCAGUGAAGAUGCUGGUUACCUGCGCCAGGACGGAAAGACCCCAUGGAGCUUUACUCCAGCUUGAUACUGGGAUUCGAUAUUGCAUGUACAGGAUAGGUGGGAGACUAGGAAGCGGUGACGCCAGUUGCCGCAGAGUCGCUGUUGGGAUACCACCCUUGCAGUAUUGGAUUUCUAACCAGCAGCCGUGAACCGGCUGGGGGACAAUGUCAGGUGGGGAGUUUGACUGGGGCGGUCGCCUCCGAAAGGGUAUCGGAGGCGCUCAAAGGUUCCCUCAGAAUGGUUGGAAACCAUUCGAAGAGUGCAAAGGCAGAAGGGAGCUUGACUGCGACACCGACGGGUGGAGCAGGUACGAAAGUAGGACUUAGUGAUCCGGUGGUAUAAAGUGGGAUUGCCAUCGCUCAACGGAUAAAAGCUACCCUGGGGAUAACAGGCUUAUCACUCCCAAGAGUUCACAUCGACGGAGUGGUUUGGCACCUCGAUGUCGGCUCAUCGCAUCCUGGGGCUGAAGUAGGUCCCAAGGGUUGGGCUGUUCGCCCAUUAAAGCGGUACGCGAGCUGGGUUCAGAACGUCGUGAGACAGUUCGGUCCCUAU